RNAcentral lists this ribosomal RNA (253 nucleotides) under uncultured bacterium. RNAcentral's name for it is "partial 16S ribosomal RNA". It matches the Rfam family "Bacterial small subunit ribosomal RNA", at positions 524 to 776 of the family's 1533-position model. The record is from RNAcentral.
UACAGAGGGUGCGAGCGUUAAUCGGAAUUACUGGGCGUAAAGCGCACGUAGUCGGCUUUGCAAGUCGGGUGUGAAAUCCCCGGGCUCAACCUGGGAACUGCAUCCGAGACUGCAUUGCUAGAGUAUGGGAGAGGGAAGCGGAAUUUCUGGUGUAGCAGUGAAAUGCGUAGAUAUCGGGAGGAACACCAGUGGCGAAGGCGACUACCUGGCCUGUUCUUGACGCUGAGGCGCGAAAGCUAGGGGAGCAAACGGG